Long non-coding RNA from Gasterosteus aculeatus aculeatus (three-spined stickleback), 628 nucleotides. NCBI's taxonomy places the organism in Eukaryota, Metazoa, Chordata, Actinopteri, Perciformes, Gasterosteidae. The record is from Ensembl.
AAUUUAUGGAAAUUGUUCAAGGUCUAUUUGCCACCACUGAAACGAAAAAGCCUCUCUAUUCACUCCCUGCUGAAAAAGCGCUGAUUAUGCCAUAUCCUUGAAUAUCAGUGUAUUCCAGGCGGUGAUUCCCGGCACGGAUUAGAGCUGCGGUGUCAGUCACGGAUCGCCCGUUACAGUAUUACAGAUGGGUGAAUGAAUGCUGCAUGCAACUACGGUGCAUCCUUGAAUUUGUCACACACACAUUGCACUUGUUGGAGAAAGGAAGGAGGAAAAAGGAGGAGUGGGAGCAGGUGAAGGACCCGUCUUUGGCGUGGAGCCAAUAAGCAGCCCGGUUCGAGCAAGGAAGAGGCCCUUGAGUGUCGACAGCCUUUCGGAGUGUCAGUUGAAGUAGCGAGAGUGAGGAAUGCUUCAACACCUGAGAGCAGCACAACAAACUGUUAAUCCUUUUGCAUGCUGCUGUAGUUAGCCAGGUGACCUUGGCUCUGUGUGAGAGGGAAAUUGCCGCAGGCCUGUACACCUCAUGCUGGGAGAUAUUGCUGUUAGGUGCACAGACACUGCCGUUGAAGACCAACAUGCACACUGCGUAUUCAAAGCAAUCUCAUGUGCCAAUCACUGUACCCAAAAGCUA